UCCUGCAUAUUGUCAAGCUGAGCCCCAGCAAAGCUCUGCUACGUCAGCUGCUGGACCUUGUGUGUGAGGGGAUUGAAGAGGGGGUGCUGAGGCACGCAGAGUCCCUGUGCAGAGCCCUGGAUGGAGAGCUGGACCUCAGUGAGACCAGGCUGGACCAGAAGGCCUGUGGAUCUCUGGCCCUGGUUCUGGAACAUUCAGAGGGGCUGUCAGAACUGGACCUCAGCCACUGUCAACUCACAGACCACCACCUACAGCCCCUGAUCACACACCUGCACAAAGUACAAGUCCUGGACCUGAGUCAUAAUGACAUCACUGAUGCUCUGACUGACAGAAUACUCCAACUGGUCUCCAUCAACACUUCAAUCCACACCGUACGACUCUUCAACAACAGAAUCCAGUACAGAAGACCCUUCCUGACAGACAAGAGGUUUGAGAUCUGGUGAAGAUAAUGUUGUAUAAUGACAGUAUAAUGUGGUCAAUGUAGAAGGCUGGUUUGAGAUCUGGUGAAGAUAAUGUUGUAUAAUGACAGUAUAAUGUGGUCAAUGUAUAUAAAAGGCUGGUUCAAAAUCACACUGAUUGAUCUGAGUCCAGAAAAAUAGUCUUAGGGACAGGAAUGUAUAAUCUGGUGGACAGACGUCUUACAUGUGUUGUCACUCAGGUCCUUAAAAACACAGGAACAUGUGUAUUAUAACUGUAGGAUAGGAAUAUGUAGUUUUAUUUACCACUAACAGUUGAUACGUCUGUACUGUCAUUAAGAUCCUUAAAAACACAGGAACAUGUGUAUUAUAAUUGUAGGAUAGGAAUAUGUAG
This is a long non-coding RNA of Coregonus clupeaformis (lake whitefish), 810 nucleotides long. RefSeq lists it as uncharacterized. The record is from RefSeq and is a predicted model, not a curated record. The transcript has 4 exons. NCBI's taxonomy places the organism in Eukaryota, Metazoa, Chordata, Actinopteri, Salmoniformes, Salmonidae.